CACGUAGGAGGCGAGCGUUGUCCGGAAUCAUUGGGCGUAAAGAGCGUGUAGGCGGCCUGAUAAGUCGGCUGUGAAAGUCAAGGGCUCAACCCUUGAAUGCCGGCCGAUACUGUCAGGCUAGAGUCCGGAAGAGGCGAGUGGAAUUCCCGGUGUAGCGGUGAAAUGCGUAGAGAUCGGGAGGAACACCAGAGGCGAAGGCGGCGACCUGGACAAAUACUGACACUCAACUGCGAAAGCGUGGGGAGCAAACAGG
This 253-nucleotide ribosomal RNA is filed under the name uncultured bacterium. RNAcentral describes it as "partial 16S ribosomal RNA". It matches the Rfam family "Bacterial small subunit ribosomal RNA", at positions 524 to 776 of the family's 1533-position model. The record is from RNAcentral.